AAUCAACGCUGGCGGCGUGCCUAACACAUGCAAGUCGAACGAGAAAGUGGGAGCAAUCCUGCGAGUACAGUGGCAGACGGGUGAGUAACACGUGAACAACCUGCCCUCGAGUGGGGAAUAACACCGCGAAAGCGGUGCUAAUACCGCAUAACAUCGCUGGGACGCAUGUCCUGGCGAUUAAAGGCGAAAGUCGCUUGAGGAGGGGUUCGCGUCUGAUUAGCUAGUUGGUGAGGUAACGGCCCACCAAGGCGACGGAUCAGUAGCCGGCCUGAGAGGGCGAACGGCCACACUGGAACCUGAGACACGGUCCAGACUCCUACGGGAGGCAG
Molecule: ribosomal RNA, 329 nt
Filed under: uncultured Acidobacteriota bacterium
Lineage: Bacteria; Pseudomonadati; Acidobacteriota
Description: bacterial SSU rRNA
Rfam family: Bacterial small subunit ribosomal RNA
Source: RNAcentral